GAUGAACGCUGGCGGCAUGCUUAAUACAUGUAAGUCGAACGAAGUGCUUUUGUCUUCGGAUGGAAGUAUCUUAGUGGCGAAUGGGUGAGUAACGCGUUGGUGACCUGCCCCGAAGUGAGGGAUAACAGUUCGAAAGGACUGCUAAUACCACAUGUGGUCAAUGGGUUUAGAAGCCAUUGACUAAAGGAGCAAUUCGCUUCGGGAGGGACCUGCGUCCCAUCAGCUAGUUGGUAGGGUUACGGCCUACCAAGGCUAUGACGGGUAGGAGGCCUGAGAGGGUGGCCCCCCACAUUGGCACUGACACACGGGCCAAACACCUACGGGUGGCAG
This 330-nucleotide ribosomal RNA is filed under the name uncultured Chloroflexota bacterium. RNAcentral's name for it is "bacterial SSU rRNA". It matches the Rfam family "Bacterial small subunit ribosomal RNA", at positions 28 to 351 of the family's 1533-position model. The record is from RNAcentral. Lineage: Bacteria; Bacillati; Chloroflexota.